Molecule: ribosomal RNA, 605 nt
Filed under: bacterium 93-L049393-122-001-E12
Lineage: Bacteria
Description: bacterial SSU rRNA
Rfam family: Bacterial small subunit ribosomal RNA
Source: RNAcentral
GCAGUCGAGCGAACAGACGAGGAGCUUGCUCCUCUGACGUUAGCGGCGGACGGGUGAGUAACACGUGGAUAACCUACCUAUAAGACUGGGAUAACUUCGGGAAACCGGAGCUAAUACCGGAUAAUAUAUUGAACCGCAUGGUUCAAUAGUGAAAGACGGUUUUGCUGUCACUUAUAGAUGGAUCCGCGCCGCAUUAGCUAGUUGGUAAGGUAACGGCUUACCAAGGCAACGAUGCGUAGCCGACCUGAGAGGGUGAUCGGCCACACUGGAACUGAGACACGGUCCAGACUCCUACGGGAGGCAGCAGUAGGGAAUCUUCCGCAAUGGGCGAAAGCCUGACGGAGCAACGCCGCGUGAGUGAUGAAGGUCUUCGGAUCGUAAAACUCUGUUAUUAGGGAAGAACAAAUGUGUAAGUAACUAUGCACGUCUUGACGGUACCUAAUCAGAAAGCCACGGCUAACUACGUGCCAGCAGCCGCGGUAAUACGUAGGUGGCAAGCGUUAUCCGGAAUUAUUGGGCGUAAAGCGCGCGUAGGCGGUUUUUUAAGUCUGAUGUGAAAGCCCACGGCUCAACCGUGGAGGGUCAUUGGAAACUGGAAAACUUGA